Molecule: ribosomal RNA, 253 nt
Filed under: uncultured bacterium
Lineage: Bacteria
Description: partial 16S ribosomal RNA
Rfam family: Bacterial small subunit ribosomal RNA
Source: RNAcentral
UACGUAGGUGGCAAGCGUUAUCCGGAUUUAUUGGGCGUAAAGGGAACGCAGGCGGUCUUUUAAGUCUGAUGUGAAAGCCUUCGGCUUAACCGGAGUAGUGCAUUGGAAACUGGGAGACUUGAGUGCAGAAGAGGAGAGUGGUACUCCAUGUGUAGCGGUGAAAUGCGUAGAUAUAUGGAAGAACACCAGUGGCGAAAGCGGCUCUCUGGUCUGUAACUGACGCUGAGGUUCGAAAGCGUGGGUAGCAAACAGG